RNAcentral lists this ribosomal RNA (497 nucleotides) under uncultured bacterium. RNAcentral's name for it is "partial 16S ribosomal RNA". It matches the Rfam family "Bacterial small subunit ribosomal RNA", at positions 28 to 507 of the family's 1533-position model. The record is from RNAcentral.
GAUGAACGCUGGCGGCGUGCCUAAUACAUGCAAGUCGAGCGAACGGACGAGAAUCUUGCUUCUCUGAUGUUAGCGGCGGACGGGUGAGUAACACGUGUAUCACCUACCUAUCAUACUGGGAUAACUUCGGGAAUCCGGAGCUAAUACCGUAUAAUCUUUUGAACCGCAUGGUUCAAAAGUAAAAGACGGUCUUUCUGUCACUUAUCGCUGGUUCCGCGCUGCUUUAGCUAGUUGGUAAGGUAACGGCUUACCAAGGCAACGAUGCAUAGCCGACCUGAGAGGGUGAUCGGCCACACUGGAACUGAGACACGGUCAAGACUCCUACGGGAGGCAGCAGUAGGGAAUCUUCCGCAAUGGGCGAAAGCAUGACGGAGCAACGCCGCGUGAGUGAUGAAGGUCUUCGGAUCGUAAAACUCUGUUAUUAGGGAAGAACAUAUGUGUAAGUAACUGUGCACAUCUUGACGGUACCGAAUCAGAAAGCCACGGCUAACUACGUG